This is a long non-coding RNA of Trachemys scripta elegans, 2991 nucleotides long. RefSeq lists it as uncharacterized. The transcript has 3 exons. The record is from RefSeq and is a predicted model, not a curated record. Lineage: Eukaryota; Metazoa; Chordata; Testudines; Emydidae.
UCAUGACUCUGAAUGUUCUUUGUGAGACCUGACCUGAUCAUGCUGGAGCACACCAAAAUGAGAUGGUUUCCCCUAGGUCUGUCCAAUUUGGUGUGCCAUAGGAACCACGCUGAAGAGCGCUGUGACAAUUGGAAAACAGCUACUGGGGAGGAAGAACUGGCUGGGUGGUCUGUAAUGGCAACAUUGUUGUUAAAGAAGAAAGACUAUCCAGAAGCUUGACUGCGAUGAUGUGUACUGGCCCUUUGGGGUUCAGAGGAAAACCUUCCUGGGCUGACAGCAGACUGCAUCAAGCUGGUCCUUGAAAAGAAGCCCCCAAUACCCAUGUCCCUGUACAUCAGCAUAUUAUUCAAGCCUUGAGGGGUUAAACAGAUUGGUAUAUUUGGCAGGUGAAGGGCCUUGCUAACCUGGCAGUUAGAAUUAUAGUCUGCUUACCUUGCCUGAGUGGGGCCAAGGAGCUCACAAGUAAGCCCAGAUAUCUAGAAAAGGUGAUUCUCCUUUUUGUGAAGUUUAUUUACUUUGUUAUAUUAGUUGAAGAGCAUAAAAGACUCCUAAGCAAUCUGAGAUCAGAGAGAGAGUGGUUCUUGGCUCUUAUGUUUUUGUUUGGUUUAGGCGGUUGAGAACAAAAACCACAGCAUCCUAGGAAAGUUGUGUGUGUGUGAAAGUUUUUUCAGCAUCAUUAGGCAGAGGGUCUGGUGUAUGUUGUGUGGAGGGAGAGUCAGGGUUUAGUUACAAAACAAACUAUGUACUGCAGUUUUGUUAGGUAACCAAGAAGCCUGAACUAAUAUAGCAUAUCAAUAGGUGCAUUCUAAACUAUGAAAUUGCUUUUCAAUAUGCACCAGAUUGUGUCCCUUUAAUGAAGUAAGGUAGUUUCAUGUACUACACAAGUCUAUGUGGUUUUACAAUACACGUUUUUUUUUUUUUAAUAAAGGAAGUCAACAAUAUUGCAAGUGUGAAAUGGGAAACUGAUAAAAUUGGGGGAACAGUGAAAUUGACUACACAAAGUAUUUUCAAAUGUGCAAGUAAACUAACACUUAGUAAGUAAAAUAAUUCAGACAGAAGUGAAGCGUUCAAGUUUAUGGUACCCAUUCAGUUGUGAUUAUUUAAAUAUUUACCUUUUAAGCCAGCUUAACAAUAACACUGGAACUGAUCCACUAGCUUGAUAUUUAAAUACUAAGGCCUCAGUUCUACAACUGGAUCUGCAUGGAUGGACCUUUGUGCCCAUAGGGUAUAUCCUGUUGAUUUCUGGCCUGCCCAUGCACCUCUGUCUGAAGAAUCAGGGCCUUACUGUUUAGUUAAAAUAUAAGAAUUGUUGGCAGAGAAGAUUAAAUAUUUAAAGAAACCUUUGUCAAAUUUAAAAAAGUUACACUUAGUUAUAACACCUAACUAUUAUAACAGAGUAACAACCCUUUUCCAAAUUAUUUACUUUGGGCAUCAGAUUGACUAUACAGAGUGCUAGCGAUUUCCCUAUUUGCCCUGAUGUAGUUAGUUUCAUCCUUCACACAGCAAUAGGGUAGAGAAACAUUUUGGCUACUAACAAAAUGAUUGUAAAGCCACAAAAACUGGCAGCUCUACUCUUGAGUAGAUGUACCCUAAAACUAUUUUUUAACUCAGCUCAUUUAAAAAAAUAAUUUCAAGCUGACAGUGUCCCAUUAACCUAUAUUACUGUCCAUAUCAACCCAGAUUUGGAUUUAAUAAUUAUCUCACAAAAACUGAAGCUAGCUUAAAAGUGAACUACAAGGUGCUAACUUAGUGUGCCACAGAAUUCUGCAUCAUAUCCAGACUCGGUUUUGUUAUAUGCCAUAAAUUUCUUUGCUCCUUGAUUAUGAGCUUCAGCCUAAACACCUGCAAUUAAGUGUCCAAGAAGCCAUUACCACCAGCCUAUGUUUACUUGCAACAUCCCGGUUUGACUAAUUUACAAUAUUAUCAAAUGUUGAUUUUUAAAACAAGCUACUUCUAAAAGUUAAUUGCACCUCUGAAAAGAGCUAAAUCAAUGAGUCACAGAAAAUAGUCUCUCAAUGACUCCUUAAAUAGAUCGCUUGUAAAGUGACCUUGGAGAAGUCAGUCUAUCCACAAUAAAAUAAAAGGCAAUUAAAGGAAGGGUACAAUUUUAGUUCAUUUUAGAAGUGAACUGAAGUUAACUAAAUACAGCUAAGUAACUACCAUUGGCAAGCAAUUAGAAUUAAAGUACAUAAUUAACAACCAAGUUAAAGCUAAAAGAUCACAACUCUUUGUCAAGUAAGAAGUAUUUUACCUUGCUUUAUAUCCAAGAGAGCAAGUGAGUGCUUUACCAAGCCUCCAGAUGGUAAAGAGAGGCCACUGCACAGGUUAUAGUCUUCCCAGUAUAUCUACAAAUAGCAUUACUGAUUUUAUCCACUGAUUAAUUCUCCACUUUUAAAACUUACGUUCCAUAUACGACAUUCUUCUGACACAUGAAAAACAAACUGCUAUGCCCUGAACUAAAAAUAACCAACAAAGCUCAACUGCAAGUCACCCAGCAACGCUCUUCAUUACACUUUCACAAAACAAUCUCCCUAAAACAAGUGUUCAGAGUACAAUGAAAACAAAAUUUCAGAUUUAAUGUCAGAAAUAAAAUGGAUUUCCUGCAGUAACAUAGCUCACCAUAAACCAUUAAGCUAAUAAGCUAACAAAUCUGCUUUUGAAACAAGAGAAAGACAAACAUUUUAAAUUGGACACACUUCAGGUAGCAAGCCAAUAACAACUCAUCCUUAUAAUCUGAACCUCUACUCAGAUUCACUGCUACUCAGAACAGGGUUAUGCCCUCAAAACUUGUUAGAAUGACAAUCCCCUUAAUUAUCUGAAGUUCUUCAAUGUGCUCUGAUAAUUGAGACUAUACUGUAAGGAAAAGGGCCAUGCAAAUCAAACAUACAGAAGAAGUGACUCCUUGCCAAUCUCUCUUCUACAAUUCUAUUAUUUUGUGCAUGUAGAAAAAACAGACUACUGCAGAGAUUAGAGGUAAAUCCAUGGAGGAAA